This 666-nucleotide ribosomal RNA is filed under the name Trueperella bernardiae. Its description in RNAcentral is "bacterial SSU rRNA". It matches the Rfam family "Bacterial small subunit ribosomal RNA", at positions 51 to 721 of the family's 1533-position model. Lineage: Bacteria; Bacillati; Actinomycetota; Actinomycetes; Actinomycetales; Actinomycetaceae. The record is from RNAcentral.
ACACAUGCAAGUCGAACGAUGAAGCUACAGCUUGCUGUGGUGGAUUAGUGGCGAACGGGUGAGUAAUACGUGAGUAACCUGCCCUUGUCUUUGGGAUAAGCCUGGGAAACUGGGUCUAAUACCGGAUAUUCUGCUUUCAUCGCAUGGUGGGGGUUGGAAAGGGUUUCUGGAUAGGGAUGGGCUCACGGCCUAUCAGCUUGUUGGUGGGGUGAUGGCCUACCAAGGCGUCGACGGGUAGCCGGCCUGAGAGGGUGACCGGCCACAUUGGGACUGAGAUACGGCCCAGACUCCUACGGGAGGCAGCAGUGGGGAAUAUUGCACAAUGGACGCAAGUCUGAUGCAGCGACGCCGCGUGGGGGAUGAAGGCUUUCGGGUUGUAAACUCCUUUCAGUACAGAACAAGGCCUUUUUGGUUGAGGGUAUGUGCAGAAGAAGCGCCGGCUAACUACGUGCCAGCAGCCGCGGUAAUACGUAGGGCGCGAGCGUUGUCCGGAAUUAUUGGGCGUAAAGAGCUCGUAGGCGGUUUGUUGCGCCUGCUGUGAAAGACCGGGGCUUAACUUCGGGGUUGCAGUGGGUACGGGCAGACUAGAGUGUGGUAGGGGUAAUUGGAAUUCCUGGUGUAGCGGUGGAAUGCGCAGAUAUCAGGAGGAAACACCGAUGGCGAAGG